This is a long non-coding RNA of Syngnathus typhle (broad-nosed pipefish), 1129 nucleotides long. RefSeq lists it as uncharacterized. NCBI's taxonomy places the organism in Eukaryota, Metazoa, Chordata, Actinopteri, Syngnathiformes, Syngnathidae. The record is from RefSeq and is a predicted model, not a curated record. The transcript has 3 exons.
CUCACCUUGGCAGCUCAGGUGCGAGUGCAGCUGUCUAUCAACUCGAGCAUGCCAUGUUGAGACACGACAGAUGACACACCCACGGGAGGUGCACCCCCCCCUUUCCUGUGCUUGUCUUUCACGCCAUCCAGAAAUUAUCUAUGAGGUGCAAAAAAGACCUGAGGCACCUCACUUCAGGAAGAACCGAAUAGAUCCAGGAAGUGUUUUCAUUUUGGAUGGACCAAAAAAACAACCUGAUCUCUUUGGGAGUCUUCAAAAGCAAGAUGUGCCGUUUAGCCAGGGGGCACUUAGCUCACCGUGCCUGAUGUAGGAAUGAUAUCUGACUGGUUGGAGCAGCAGGCAAGCCAAAAUGUACAGGGAGUCAACCUUGGAUGCAUGACAGGACAAUUAAAGUGCUUUGUUUAAGCUUGCACAAAGGACAGAGCAGCCUCAUUUAUUUUUAGGGCUAGGCCAUCGAUCCCAUGCUAGACUUUAAAUGGCAUGAUGAAAGUUUGAAGAUAAUAAGACCAUGUUCUUUUAAAUUAUUCAACCUUUUAGGACUACAGAUUGACAAGAUUUGUACCACUGCAAAAAAAACCAAAUGAUAGUUGUAGACAUUUUAAUUUUUUUUUGUCUGUCGUGGAAACCGGUCGAACGUAAUGUUCCAAAAAAAACUUUUUAUCCAAGAGAAAAUGUUGCAAACGGCACAAUCCAUCAAAUUUGUGCCUUUUGCAUUUCCAGGAAAUUAAAUGUAAACUGUAAAAACUGUUUUAUUAUUAUUAUUACUCAGGAAAUAUCCAUGUUGAUCUGGCUUCAUAUUAAAAAAACAAUUAAGAAAUGUAUAUAAACUACAUUGAACACUGAAAAAGGAGAAUUUGUUGCCUGCCCCCAUAUACAAAACCACCAUGAAAUAUCAUUACAUUUUGACAGAAAUGAGGAACACGUCUUCAUUCCAUGACUGUCUGCCAACAACUGUGGCUAGAGACAAUUCAUCAAAUCAACAAAAAGCAGGACAUCACAAAGACAAACAUAUCACCCCAGCUUUAACUGUAGGCCUGCAUGGUGAGAGGCCUUGUACUGAGGUCCGCCACAACAUAAAUUUAGGUGAAAGGCCUCGUACUGAGGUCUACCACGACAUAAAUCUACGUAU